UACUCUUUCACUGGGUUCUGUACCCUGC
This 28-nucleotide non-coding RNA is filed under the name Mus musculus (house mouse). The record is from RNAcentral. Lineage: Eukaryota; Metazoa; Chordata; Mammalia; Rodentia; Muridae.